GGGAGGGUAAGCUCAGGAGUAGAGCACAGGCUUAGCAUGCAGGAGGUCCUGGGUUCAAUCCCCAGCACUUCCA
RNAcentral lists this transfer RNA (73 nucleotides) under Camelus bactrianus (Bactrian camel). It matches the Rfam family "tRNA". From Rfam's summary of the family: Transfer RNA (tRNA) molecules are approximately 80 nucleotides in length. RNAcentral also lists the same sequence under 2 other names. The record is from Rfam by way of RNAcentral. Lineage: Eukaryota; Metazoa; Chordata; Mammalia; Artiodactyla; Camelidae.